GGACAAUAUGAGAAAUUUUAUUUGCAGGGAAUAGCAUUGAACAGUUUCACAAACAGAUGCAGUAUAGACUAUAUAUAGUAGCCCUAUAAUGAUAGAACUAACUCAUCUAACCAAAAGUGACCUAAAAAUUUCUUCACAUAGCUCACUCCUGAAGAUCAACAAGUGUCCAGUAUCAGGAACUUCAUGGUAGCGAAUCCAUGGAAGCUUCUCUGAUAUGUAACGAUUUAUUUGAUAAGGAAUGAUUCUGUCCUCAUAACCUUGCCAAAUGUGGACUGAGCCUUCAUUGUUAGGGAAAGGAUUACUUAUGUCCAGGGGAUCAAAUUCCCAUUUCGCAUACCCUGCGAUUAUGUCCCGAUGCAGAGAUUCCUGAACACCUUGUUGCCGAACCUUUUCCAGACCAACACUUGGAGUUUCUGAUAACUUUUUAAUCAUCUCCAAAUCUUGGGGGCAAAAGAUUGCCAUAUUUCCUGAAUACUUAAUGAAGGGAACCAUUUCUGGGUCAUCCACCAGUAGAAUAACCAAGGUGCACGAUGUGCAAUUCGAAAUGUCCAUUGAUCACAUUUCUGAAGCCUUUGGAAGCCCUCUCUGGAUACAUUGGCCGGGAGACAAGGCCACCAGUAGUGUACAAAUGGAACUACAAGUGAAGCUCCAGCCAACCUCUGUGGUAUGUAUUUUAGGCAACCAUAUAUGGGGUAGGCUCCCAUUGAGACUCCAAUUAUGUAAAAUUUCGGUCCAAUCUGCAACUUGUCUGCUAGUUCUUGAAUAUCGUAUGCUUCACUCUUCACUGUACGCUUUGGAAAUGGAUCACUUUCUCCAUACCCUGCUCUAUCGAAGAAAAGGAAAUACAUGCUCAGCUCCUCAAUAAGUUCCUGAGACACAGGUAAAUUUAGAUCCUUCGAACUGUCAAAGCCAUGAAUGACUAUAAUUUUGUGCUUGGCUUCUUCCUUAGGAACUCCCAUCUCCCUGUAGGCCAAAUGCCUACCAUCACUGAGUUUGACUCUGGGUGAAGUGACUGGAGGACCACCGGGCGAUCCACAUAUCUUCGGAUGAGGAGGCUUCAGUGCCUGAUAAACCCAACCCAGAAGACCCGCAGAUACAGCUACUGCAAUCGGUGCAAGCAUUGUAAGGGAGUGGAGAAGAACUAGAUGAGACCUAGUGCGACUUCUUGCUGAUGUAGCUGACAUCUUCUUGGGUGAUCCACUUGCAUUUUCCACUUAAGAAAGAGCAAGUUUUAC
Molecule: unclassified non-coding RNA, 1235 nt
Filed under: Hevea brasiliensis (rubber tree)
Lineage: Eukaryota; Viridiplantae; Streptophyta; Magnoliopsida; Malpighiales; Euphorbiaceae
Source: RNAcentral